This 253-nucleotide ribosomal RNA is filed under the name uncultured bacterium. Its description in RNAcentral is "partial 16S ribosomal RNA". It matches the Rfam family "Bacterial small subunit ribosomal RNA", at positions 524 to 776 of the family's 1533-position model. The record is from RNAcentral. RNAcentral also lists the same sequence under 2 other names.
UACGUAGGGUGCGAGCGUUAAUCGGAAUUACUGGGCGUAAAGCGUGCGCAGGCGGUUGUGUAAGACAGGUGUGAAAUCCCCGGGCUUAACCUGGGAACUGCGCUUGUGACUGCACGGCUAGAGUAUGGCAGAGGGGGGUGGAAUUCCACGUGUAGCAGUGAAAUGCGUAGAGAUGUGGAGGAACACCGAUGGCGAAGGCAGCCCCCUGGGCCAAUACUGACGCUCAUGCACGAAAGCGUGGGGAGCAAACAGG